CAGUGGAAGACCAUUCUUGUCAAAUUAGCUCGGAGGACCACAAAGCCCUCGAGGGUCGCUUUGGAAGCUGCCAAUCAUGGAAUAUCAUAUACAAACAAAGAUGCAACAGGUGAAAAUUUGUGAAGUAAGCAACACCUCCGCCGCAGCAGCGGCGACCGCCAGCAGCGGCGUUUGCAUCAACGCCGUGCAGCGGAGGCGGAAACCACCUCCCAUUUGUCCAGAAGGAAAGAAAUCGCUCUGGCAUUCAACGCCGGGAAAACUUCACAGUGGCGAAAUAUUUUGGGCCAGCUGGCUCGGGGGACCGCCAG
Non-coding RNA from Megalopta genalis, 308 nucleotides. NCBI's taxonomy places the organism in Eukaryota, Metazoa, Arthropoda, Insecta, Hymenoptera, Halictidae. The record is from RefSeq and is a predicted model, not a curated record.